Molecule: ribosomal RNA, 1257 nt
Filed under: Enterococcus faecium
Lineage: Bacteria; Bacillati; Bacillota; Bacilli; Lactobacillales; Enterococcaceae
Description: bacterial SSU rRNA
Rfam family: Bacterial small subunit ribosomal RNA
Source: RNAcentral
UUUCGGGUGUCGCUGAUGGAUGGACCCGCGGUGCAUUAGCUAGUUGGUGAGGUAACGGCUCACCAAGGCCACGAUGCAUAGCCGACCUGAGAGGGUGAUCGGCCACAUUGGGACUGAGACACGGCCCAAACUCCUACGGGAGGCAGCAGUAGGGAAUCUUCGGCAAUGGACGAAAGUCUGACCGAGCAACGCCGCGUGAGUGAAGAAGGUUUUCGGAUCGUAAAACUCUGUUGUUAGAGAAGAACAAGGAUGAGAGUAACUGUUCAUCCCUUGACGGUAUCUAACCAGAAAGCCACGGCUAACUACGUGCCAGCAGCCGCGGUAAUACGUAGGUGGCAAGCGUUGUCCGGAUUUAUUGGGCGUAAAGCGAGCGCAGGCGGUUUCUUAAGUCUGAUGUGAAAGCCCCCGGCUCAACCGGGGAGGGUCAUUGGAAACUGGGAGACUUGAGUGCAGAAGAGGAGAGUGGAAUUCCAUGUGUAGCGGUGAAAUGCGUAGAUAUAUGGAGGAACACCAGUGGCGAAGGCGGCUCUCUGGUCUGUAACUGACGCUGAGGCUCGAAAGCGUGGGGAGCAAACAGGAUUAGAUACCCUGGUAGUCCACGCCGUAAACGAUGAGUGCUAAGUGUUGGAGGGUUUCCGCCCUUCAGUGCUGCAGCUAACGCAUUAAGCACUCCGCCUGGGGAGUACGACCGCAAGGUUGAAACUCAAAGGAAUUGACGGGGGCCCGCACAAGCGGUGGAGCAUGUGGUUUAAUUCGAAGCAACGCGAAGAACCUUACCAGGUCUUGACAUCCUUUGACCACUCUAGAGAUAGAGCUUCCCCUUCGGGGGCAAAGUGACAGGUGGUGCAUGGUUGUCGUCAGCUCGUGUCGUGAGAUGUUGGGUUAAGUCCCGCAACGAGCGCAACCCUUAUUGUUAGUUGCCAUCAUUCAGUUGGGCACUCUAGCAAGACUGCCGGUGACAAACCGGAGGAAGGUGGGGAUGACGUCAAAUCAUCAUGCCCCUUAUGACCUGGGCUACACACGUGCUACAAUGGGAAGUACAACGAGUUGCGAAGUCGCGAGGCUAAGCUAAUCUCUUAAAGCUUCUCUCAGUUCGGAUUGCAGGCUGCAACUCGCCUGCAUGAAGCCGGAAUCGCUAGUAAUCGCGGAUCAGCACGCCGCGGUGAAUACGUUCCCGGGCCUUGUACACACCGCCCGUCACACCACGAGAGUUUGUAACACCUGAAGUUCGGUGAGGUAACCUUUUGGAGGCCAGCC